ACGAGUUAGGGUCUCCAAGGCCCGAUCUCCCAACCCAAUGUUUACUUAACCAUUGUUGCUUCGGCGAGCCCGUCCUCACGGACCGCCGGAGGGUUAAUGAUAGCCCUCUGGCCCGCGCUUGUCGAGAGCCUAAACCUUUAAAAUUCUUUAACUAAACGUGAUUCUCUAAGUACCAUAUUUAAUUAAAAGCA
Molecule: unclassified non-coding RNA, 191 nt
Filed under: uncultured Herpotrichiellaceae
Lineage: Eukaryota; Fungi; Ascomycota; Eurotiomycetes; Chaetothyriales; Herpotrichiellaceae
Description: sequence contains ITS1
Source: RNAcentral